AUUGAACGCUGGCGGCGUGCCUAACACAUGCAAGUCGAGCGGUAACAGGUGUAGCAAUACAUGCUGACGAGCGGCGGACGGGUGAGUAACGCUUGGGAAUCUGCCUGUUAGUGGGGGACAACCCGGGGAAACUCGGGCUAAUACCGCAUACGCACUAUGGUGGAAAGCCGGGGACCGCAAGGCCUGGCGCUAACAGAUGA
RNAcentral lists this ribosomal RNA (200 nucleotides) under uncultured bacterium. Its description in RNAcentral is "partial 16S ribosomal RNA". It matches the Rfam family "Bacterial small subunit ribosomal RNA", at positions 30 to 228 of the family's 1533-position model. The record is from RNAcentral.